ACCCUAAGGUGCGAAAGCGUGGGGAGCAAACAGGAUUAAAUACCCGGGUAGUCCACGCCGUAAACGAUGGGUCGACUGUAGGAGGUAUCGUGCCCUUCUGUUCCGGAGCUAACGCGUUAAGUCCACCGCCUGGGGAGUACGGCCGCAAGGUUAAAACUCAAAUGAAUUGACGGGGGCCCGCACAAGCGGUGGAGCAUGUGGUUUAAUUCGAUGCAACGCGAAGAACCUUACCUGGUCUUGACAUCCACAGACAGUUUUCAAAGAUGAGAUGUGCUUCUUCGGAAACCGUGAGACAGGUGCUGCAUGGCUGUCGUCAGCUCGUGUUGUGAAAUGUUGGGUUAAGUCCCGCAACGAGCGCAACCCUUAUCCUUUGUUGCCAUCGGUCCGGCCGGGAACUCAAAGGAAACUGCCAGUGAUAAACUGAAGGAAGGUGGGGAUGACGUCAAGUCAUCAUGGCCCUUACAACCAGGGCUACACACUUGCUACAAUGGCGCAUACAAAAAUAAGCGACCUCGCGAGAGCAAGCGGACCUCAUAACAGUGCGUCUCAUUCCGGAUUGGAGUCUGCAACUCGACUCCAUGAAGUCGGAAUCGCUAGUAAUCGUGGAUCACAAUGCCACGGUGAAUACGUUCCCGGGCCUUGUACACACCGCCCGUCACACCAUGGGAGUGGGUUGCAAAAGAAGUAGGUAACUUAACCUUCGGGAGGCCGCUUACCACUUUGUGAUUCAUGACUGGGGUGAAGUCGUACAGGGUAAGGGGAAAAGAAAAAAA
RNAcentral lists this ribosomal RNA (773 nucleotides) under Escherichia coli. Its description in RNAcentral is "bacterial SSU rRNA". It matches the Rfam family "Bacterial small subunit ribosomal RNA", at positions 743 to 1533 of the family's 1533-position model. The record is from RNAcentral. Lineage: Bacteria; Pseudomonadati; Pseudomonadota; Gammaproteobacteria; Enterobacterales; Enterobacteriaceae.